Molecule: ribosomal RNA, 501 nt
Filed under: uncultured Lachnospiraceae bacterium
Lineage: Bacteria; Bacillati; Bacillota; Clostridia; Lachnospirales; Lachnospiraceae
Description: partial 16S ribosomal RNA
Source: RNAcentral
CACGUAGUUAGCCGGGGCUUCUUAGUCAGGUACUGUCACUUUCUUCCCUGCUGAUAGGGCUUUACAUACCGAGAUACUUCAUCGCUCACGCGGCGUCGCUGCAUCAGGGUUUCCCCCAUUGUGCAAUAUUCCCCACUGCUGCCUCCCGCAGGAGUCUGGGCCGUGUCUCAGUCCCAAUGUGGCCGGCCGCCCUCUCAGGCCGGCUACUGAUCGUCGCCUUGGUGGGCCGUUACCCCGCCAACGAGCUAAUCAGACGCGGGCCCAUCCCAUACCACCGGAGUUUUCCCCAGGAAGCUAUGCAGCCUCCUGGGCGUAUGCGGUAUUAGCAGCCGUUUCCGGCUGUUAUCCCCCGGUAUGGGGCAGGUUGCCCACGCGUUACUCACCCGUCCGCCACUCAGACAGCUACUGUUCCUCCCCGAAGGGAAUCCCUGCAGCCGCUUCGUUCGACUUGCAUGUGUUAAGCACGCCGCCAGCGUUCAUCCUGAGCCAGGAUCAAACUCU